Molecule: ribosomal RNA, 727 nt
Filed under: uncultured bacterium
Lineage: Bacteria
Description: bacterial SSU rRNA
Rfam family: Bacterial small subunit ribosomal RNA
Source: RNAcentral
ACGGGUGAGUAACGCGUAUGCAACCUACCCUGUACAGGGGGAUAACCCGGAGAAAUUCGGACUAAUAUCCCAUAAUAUUAUUUGGAGGCAUCUUUGGAUAAUUAAAGCUCCGGCGGUACGGGAUGGGCAUGCGUAACAUUAGCUGGUUGGUAAGGUAACGGCUUACCAAGGCUUUGAUGUUUAGGGGUCCUGAGAGGGUGGUCCCCCACACUGGUACUGAGACACGGACCAGACUCCUACGGGAGGCAGCAGUGAGGAAUAUUGGUCAAUGGGCGCAAGCCUGAACCAGCCAUCCCGCGUGCAGGAAGACGGCCCUAUGGGUUGUAAACUGCUUUUCCGAAAGGCGAAACUCAGCGACGAGUCGUUGAUUGACGGUAUUUUGGGAAUAAGCAUCGGCUAACUCCGUGCCAGCAGCCGCGGUAAUACGGAGGAUGCGAGCGUUAUCCGGAUUUAUUGGGUUUAAAGGGUGCGUAGGCGGAUUAAUAAGUCAGUGGUGAAAACCUUCAGCUUAACUGGAGACUUGCCAUUGAUACUGUUAGUCUUGAGUACGGUCAAGGUAGGCGGAAUGUGUAAUGUAGCGGUGAAAUGCUUAGAUAUUACACAGAACACCGAUUGCGAAGGCAGCUUACUGGGCCAUUACUGACGCUGAUGCACGAAAGCGUGGGGAGCGAACAGGAUUAGAUACCCUGGUAGUCCACGCCGUAAACGAUGAUCACUCGCUGUUAGC